This 72-nucleotide transfer RNA is filed under the name Marmota marmota marmota (Alpine marmot). It matches the Rfam family "tRNA". From Rfam's summary of the family: Transfer RNA (tRNA) molecules are approximately 80 nucleotides in length. Their secondary structure includes four short double-helical elements and three loops (D, anti-codon, and T loops). Lineage: Eukaryota; Metazoa; Chordata; Mammalia; Rodentia; Sciuridae. The record is from Rfam by way of RNAcentral. RNAcentral also lists the same sequence under 1 other name.
GGGGAUGUAGCUCAGUGGUAGAACACUUGCCUCGCAUGUAAGAGGCCCUGGGUUCCAUCCCCAAUACCACCA